AGGUAGAAAGUGUCUAGAAAGUCCCAAGAUGAAGCUACUAGUCACUGAGGUGGCAACUACUCUUAUUCACAGAAUGAGACUUUGGCGGGUGGCAGAGGGUGUUAUGAAUGUUGAAAACCAAGAAAACAAGGACUACAAGUGAAGAAAAAGCUCAGGCAGCAUCUCCAUUAUUUGUCUCCAGACAUCUCCUUUAUAGAUUGGGACUCUCAGUUUGUUUUUCAGAUGGGGUCUUGCAUUUUUUGCAUGGGUAGGAAGCUGAGGAACAAGCUGAAAAAAGUACUCUCCCAGCAAGUUACUGACUAAAAUCCUUCCACUCUCACCUUUUAAGUAGCUGGGAUUAUAGAUGUGUGCUGCAUCUCCUGGCUACUAUUUAUAAAAUCUUUUAGAUAAAGAAGAUACAUUCUUUAUAGGUUUUUGUAAAACUCAGACAACAGUGUGUAUCUUUAAGAAUCAGACUGUAUGUAACCCUUUAUAUAUUUUACAAAUAUGAGGUAUUACAAUCUU
Dipodomys spectabilis (banner-tailed kangaroo rat) is the source of this 504-nucleotide long non-coding RNA. RefSeq lists it as uncharacterized. The transcript is spliced from 3 exons. Lineage: Eukaryota; Metazoa; Chordata; Mammalia; Rodentia; Heteromyidae. The record is from RefSeq and is a predicted model, not a curated record.